GAUCAGGUUAGGUUAGGAUUGGUUAGUUUAGGUUAGGAUAGACUGGUUUAGGUAAGAAUUGGAUAGUUUAGGAUAUAUUAGGAUUGGUUAUGUUAGGGUAGAUUUGGUUAGAUUGGUAGACCUAAUGGUCAGCCACUGGAGGAGGUUUUAUAAGUGGGAACUUUUCUGUAGUUUUAGCAAAUUACCAAAUAAAUGUUCAACUUUCUGUUGCAGGUUUCCUGAUAAAUCAAAGCAGAGAGACCUUUACCUGGAGUGGGUCAGGCUAUGUAGACGGACAGUGGACCCCAGUAAUACUGCUCUCGUAUGCAGUGCUCACUUUCGUCCAAGUAUGGUAAAUACUACCAUGCAUCAUGCACAGCUACGUGAGGGAGCAAUUCCAGAAUUGGUUGAUCUACCAAGCCACUUGCAGGUAUCUACAAGGACCAGGUCAACUGUCACAAGUACAAGUGCAGACUUACCAGUGCCCAUGCCUCAACCUGGGCCUUCUACGGAACAAAUGCAUACGGAGCACGCAUAUCCAUUACCAGCUGAAGUUACACCUGACAGUAGGAUUUCUGAGCUGGGAACCCAGGUGGAAUCAUUACGUAGAAAGCUCAAGAACACAAAGGCCAGAGAGAAGAGGGCAAAAGAAACGACCCAAUCAUUGCUGAAGGAGUUGGAAGAAAAAAAUCUGAUAAAUGCAGAGCUUGAGGUUCGCCUGGAAUCUUACAAAGGUUAGCAUUGUUGUAGUCUAAUGUUGCCUGC
Eriocheir sinensis (Chinese mitten crab) is the source of this 744-nucleotide long non-coding RNA. RefSeq lists it as uncharacterized. The record is from RefSeq and is a predicted model, not a curated record. NCBI's taxonomy places the organism in Eukaryota, Metazoa, Arthropoda, Malacostraca, Decapoda, Varunidae. The transcript is spliced from 3 exons.